Molecule: non-coding RNA, 21 nt
Filed under: Caenorhabditis elegans
Lineage: Eukaryota; Metazoa; Nematoda; Chromadorea; Rhabditida; Rhabditidae
Source: RNAcentral
UGGGAAAAAUGGUUGACAUUU